This 96-nucleotide microRNA precursor is filed under the name Marmota monax (woodchuck). Lineage: Eukaryota; Metazoa; Chordata; Mammalia; Rodentia; Sciuridae. The record is from RNAcentral.
ACACUGUGGUGUGCACUGCACAUCUCUAAGGAUGCCAUUCACAUAGAAAAUGGUGUGAUGGAGUCCUUAGAGUAUUUUGCAGUAUACAACGUGAAC